UGGGGAAUUUUUCGCAAUGGGGGAAACCCUGACGAAGCAACGCCGCGUGGAGGAUGAAGGCCUUCGGGUCGUAAACUCCUGUCGACCGGGACGAACGUAGUCGGGUCCAAUACAUCCGGCUAUCGACUGUACCGGUAAAGGAAGCCACGGCUAACUCUGUGCCAGCAGCCGCGGUAAUACAGAGGUGGCAAGCGUUGUUCGGAAUUACUGGGCGUAAAGGGCGCGUAGGCGGUCCGAUAAGUCCCGUGUGAAAUCCCUCGGCUCAACUGAGGAAUGGCACGGGGAACUGACGGGCUUGAGUUCGGGAGAGGGAAGCGGAAUUCCGGGUGUAGCGGUGAAAUGCGUAGAUAUCCGGAGGAACACCGGUGGCGAAGGCGGCUUCCUGGACCGACACUGACGCUGAGGCGCGAAAGCUAGGGGAGCAAACGGGAUUAGAUACCCCGGUAGUCCUAGCUGUAAACGAUGAGUGCUGGGUGGUAGGGGGUAUCUACCCCCCUGUCGCCGAAGCUAACGCAUU
This 517-nucleotide ribosomal RNA is filed under the name uncultured Acidobacteriota bacterium. RNAcentral's name for it is "bacterial SSU rRNA". It matches the Rfam family "Bacterial small subunit ribosomal RNA", at positions 355 to 861 of the family's 1533-position model. Lineage: Bacteria; Pseudomonadati; Acidobacteriota. The record is from RNAcentral.